CCGAUGUUAGGAUAGGACAAGAGCUGGCCCGGAAGGUCAGCAGAGCCCAAAGCCAUGCUGGGUGAGGUCGUCACUCGGGCUCACUGACAGGGAGAGGAAAAGAAAGAAAUUACCAUGCAAGCUGAUCUACAAAAGAAACCUCUUGCAGCCUGAAUCUAUCCGAAGCCAGAGGUUCCAUUCAACCUGGCAUGCAUUCAAAUUGCAAGCCCCCGCCCCUCCCUGGUGCCGAAUGGGCCUCUCCAACACAGACUGAGUAAUUUGAUCCAGUUACUCCGAGUCAGCGGUUUGGACAUGUGUUUGCAAUCUGAAGGCUUCCUGUGAGGUACACAGGCCCUUAAUAACAUUUCUUACGGGAAAUGUUUGGCUU
Molecule: long non-coding RNA, 367 nt
Filed under: Ictidomys tridecemlineatus (thirteen-lined ground squirrel)
Lineage: Eukaryota; Metazoa; Chordata; Mammalia; Rodentia; Sciuridae
Description: lncRNA (ENSSTOG00000032093.1)
Source: RNAcentral